This 305-nucleotide ribosomal RNA is filed under the name uncultured bacterium. Its description in RNAcentral is "bacterial SSU rRNA". It matches the Rfam family "Bacterial small subunit ribosomal RNA", at positions 334 to 657 of the family's 1533-position model. The record is from RNAcentral.
AUGUCCUACGGGGGGCAGCAGUGGGGAAUAUUGCACAAUGGGCGAAAGCCUGAUGCAGCAACGCCGCGUGAGCGAUGAAGGCCUUCGGGUCGUAAAGCUCUGUCCUCAAGGAAGAUAAUGACGGUACUUGAGGAGGAAGCCCCGGCUAACUACGUGCCAGCAGCCGCGGUAAUACGUAGGGGGCUAGCGUUAUCCGGAAUUACUGGGCGUAAAGGGUGCGUAGGUGGUUUCUUAAGUCAGAGGUGAAAGGCUACGGCUCAACCGUAGUAAGCCUUUGAAACUGUUAUUCUAGAGUAUGGGAGAGG